ACCCGCGCACGCGCGAGGUAAGCUGAGAGAACUUCCCGCGGAGGGCUGUCCGGGCAGCGCAAGCCGCGACAGACUUCCACAGUUCUGACCGCCAAGUGCGUCCGUAGGUGUCUCCCUGAGGCCGAGCGCGUGUGAGGCGGAUUCUGUCAAAUUCUUCCCCCGAGUUUGUCCCCUCACGUGGUACACAGGUGUGUGGCCCUUUGUACCCGGCCUUGUGAUCCUGUGUGUGUUUGCAGCAGAGAGGGUUGCGGGACCGACUGCACCUCAGGCUGAGGAGAAGAACAGAGAAAAGGGAUAUGCGUUUCCCUUGGCAGGAAAACACUUACUUUCAAGACUCCGCUUCCAAAAUGUAUGAGUGUCUGGGCUGUUCAGCAAACCGGCUUUAGUUUUUCCCUCUUAAUGUGGUAGCAUGUUAUUGAGAACAGAAAAAAGCAGGCCCUGGCAUCCAGGAACUGGCCUGACGCUUACAGGAACAUGAAUUGAAGGUCUACCAAGUGUGGGUGCUGGGAUUUGAAUUGUGAUCAAGCUACAAUCCCUGACUACGAGAGGUUCCAAUGUGGAGGAGGCAAGCACUUGGAGAUCUGUAACCCAGGCCAUGUACCUCAGCUGCUCAUCUGUCAGGAGAGCAGGAGGGGCACAGAGGAUCCUAUUCAAGGCCCAACUUCUCCAAAG
This is a long non-coding RNA of Hippopotamus amphibius kiboko, 672 nucleotides long. RefSeq lists it as uncharacterized. The transcript has 4 exons. NCBI's taxonomy places the organism in Eukaryota, Metazoa, Chordata, Mammalia, Artiodactyla, Hippopotamidae. The record is from RefSeq and is a predicted model, not a curated record.